UGGGGAAUUGUUCGCAAUGGGCGCAAGCCUGACGACGCAACGCCGCGUGGAGGAUGAAGACCUUCGGGUCGUAAACUCCUUUCGACCGAGAUGAAUUCCCGCCGGCCUAAUACGCUGGCGGGGUGACAGUAUCGAGGGAAGCAGCCCCGGCUAACUCCGUGCCAGCAGCCGCGGUAAUACGGGGGGGGCAAGCGUUGUUCGGAAUUACUGGGCGUAAAGGGUUCGUAGGUGGCCCGCUAAGUCAGACGUGAAAUCCCUCAGCUUAACUGGGGAACUGCGUCUGAGACUGGUGGGUUUGAGGGCAGGAGAGGAACGCGGAAUUCCAGGUGUAGCGGUGAAAUGCGUAGAUAUCUGGAGGAACACCGGUGGCGAAGGCGGCGUUCUGGACUGCAUCUGACACUGAGGAACGAAAGCCAGGGGAGCAAACGGGAUUAGAUACCCCGGUAGUCCUGGCCCUAAACGAUGAAUGCUUGGUGUGGCGGUAUCGAUCCCUGCCGUGCCGCAGUU
Molecule: ribosomal RNA, 507 nt
Filed under: uncultured Acidobacteriota bacterium
Lineage: Bacteria; Pseudomonadati; Acidobacteriota
Description: bacterial SSU rRNA
Rfam family: Bacterial small subunit ribosomal RNA
Source: RNAcentral